UACGUAGGUGGCAAGCGUUGUCCGGAUUUACUGGGCGUAAAGAGCGCGCAGGCGGUCGUUCAAGUCGCGUGUGAAAGCCCCCGGCUCAACUGGGGAGGGUCACGCGAUACUGAUCGACUCGAAGGCAGGAGAGGGUAGUGGAAUUCCCGGUGUAGUGGUGAAAUGCGUAGAUAUCGGGAGGAAUACCGGUGGCGAAGGCGGCAUCCUGGACCGACAUUGACGCUGAACGGCGAAAGCUAGGGGAGCAAACGGG
This 253-nucleotide ribosomal RNA is filed under the name uncultured bacterium. RNAcentral describes it as "partial 16S ribosomal RNA". It matches the Rfam family "Bacterial small subunit ribosomal RNA", at positions 524 to 776 of the family's 1533-position model. The record is from RNAcentral.